UACGGAAGGGGCAAGCGUUGUUCGGAAUCAUUGGGCGUAAAGGGCGCGUAGGUGGUUCUGUAUGUCUACCGUGAAAGCGUACGGCUCAACCGUAUUUUGUCGGUAGAAACUGCAGGACUUGAGGCUGGGAGGGGCUGGUGGAAUUCCCUGUGUAGCGGUGAAAUGCGUAGAGAUGGGGGAGAACACUCGUGGCGAAGGCGGCCAGCUAGACCAGUUCUGACACUGAGGCGCGACAGCGUGGGGAGCGAACAGG
RNAcentral lists this ribosomal RNA (253 nucleotides) under uncultured bacterium. RNAcentral describes it as "partial 16S ribosomal RNA". It matches the Rfam family "Bacterial small subunit ribosomal RNA", at positions 524 to 776 of the family's 1533-position model. The record is from RNAcentral.